Molecule: long non-coding RNA, 258 nt
Organism: Trematomus bernacchii (emerald rockcod)
Lineage: Eukaryota; Metazoa; Chordata; Actinopteri; Perciformes; Nototheniidae
Exons: 3
Source: RefSeq, a predicted model, not a curated record
UAUGAGUUCAGUGUGUCUCUCGUGGAGCUCCACAGACGCACUCUGGACGUCGCGGUGAAGAACGGAGGAGGACUGCUCUCCAAACACAAAGGCCUUCUGGGAAAGGUUCUGGUGGAUUUGACGUACGAGGACACGUCUAAGGGUUGGACACAAUGGUAUGAGCUGAGUGAAGAUGGUCUGACGAAACCUCAACAACUAUAGAGCGAAACAACCAUCACAAUCACCAUCAUCAUCAUCAUCGCAAUCAUCAUCACCACA